UCUAGAUUAAAUAUAUCCAGUUUUCAAAAUCUUCCUUUGCCAGUAGAACACAAGCCUGCAGGUUUUAUCUUAUCCCAGUUGCCAAGUUUAUUUUUGUCACAUCUCAGGUAAGUGUAUUGGUAGUAUAGAUUAGCAGAUGACCAAAUACGUAAUGUCUACUUUUACCAUUAUUAGACAGAACAGUAAUGUUAACAGGGAAGGCUGACAUGCAAGCUGUUAUAGAAGGCUAGGUUGGUGUAUGGCGUGUUGUGAUUGUGGCUACAAGUGUGUGUGAUAUGUAGAACAGUGGGAAUUUGAACAUGGAUUGGUGAUUCAUAGAGAGUUUUUUAUGAAUUCUUGCUCUAUGUUUAAAUUCCUAUUAUAGCCUUAAAUUAAAGUUUUUGGAUA
This is a non-coding RNA of Pelobates cultripes (western spadefoot toad), 387 nucleotides long. Lineage: Eukaryota; Metazoa; Chordata; Amphibia; Anura; Pelobatidae. The record is from the annotation of a GenBank genome assembly.